Molecule: ribosomal RNA, 471 nt
Filed under: Triticum aestivum (bread wheat)
Lineage: Eukaryota; Viridiplantae; Streptophyta; Magnoliopsida; Poales; Poaceae
Description: partial small subunit ribosomal RNA
Source: RNAcentral
AUGCAACAUGCCCCCAAGCUCCGCCCCGCCCUCCCCUUCGUCCAGAUCCAUGCCUCAAGGUCUGCACCCUUGCCCGCGGCUAGGGAUUCGGGCGCCCCCGUGUUCUUGCCGCCGAGUGCCCAGGUCGGCCCGCUGGCCAACGAGCAGCACCCCGCACCUGCGCGUGCCCAGGCAGACGAGCAGUAUGGGGAUUGGCCGCGGACGGGGACAAGUGCAGGCGCGGCAGCAGGAGAAGCUGUGGCGGCGGCGGAUCUGGUGACCGCCGGGUCGGCUCGUCGUUCGUGGCCGGCCGGAAUCGCGCUUGGAGUAGUCGGUUCCGGUCCAUCUACUACUCGUGACUGGGAAGGAAGGAUCAUGUCGUUGAUAGUUCAGCAUUACAAGCAACAACCACUGAGCCAUGAGAGUCUUUCUAGAUGGUACUCUAUCUACAUACUCUUACAAGAAAAAACCAACGAGUUAUGUUCAAAAUGA